ACUCAUGGUCCAGACUUUUUUCAAAUAGGACAUGUAGUUUGUCUGCAGCGAGUGUUUUGGUAGAAACUGCGCCUCCCAUUCAUUAUAAUGGGAAAUGACCACAGACAAGUGCGCACACCAUCUUUGGACCUUGAGUGUGACGCGAUCGGGAGGGGGAGGCGGUCGCACUGGGGGCGGCGCAACGCGGCUCGGGCCCGCCAGUGCCCCAACGGGGCCCUAGUUAGGGCCCGAGCCAGCUGCAGAGCAGCCGGGCGUAGGCCCUGUUAUUCCUGUAGGGGUUUUUCUUUAGGGCCCGAGCGUAGCUGCUAAGCAGCUGCGAGAGCCCUCUUGUUCCUGCAUGUUUCCUUCUUUUGUUAUUAUUAGGGCCCGAGCGUAGCUGCUAAGCAGCUGCGAGAGCCCUAUUAUUCCCCAAGUGGUUUUUCUUUGUUUCUUUCUUAGGGCCCGAGCGUAGCUGCUAAGCAGCUGCGAGAGCCCUCUUGUUCCUGUAGUUUCCUUCUUUUGUUAUUAGGGCCCGAGCCAGCUGCAGAGCAGCCGGGCGUAGGCCCUAUUAUUCCCCAAGUGGUUUUUCUUUGUUUCUUUCUUUCUUUCUUUCUUUCUUUCUUCUUUUUCCUCCCCUUUGAACUGGAAAAUGGCCCACUUCCCACUGGCGAAAACUCAUGAAAUUUGGCAGGACGACCGGGCCUGGUGAAAAAUUCGAUAUUCUGAAGUCGCCCAAACAAUAAAAUGCAAAAUGGCUCCAUAGCGCCCCCUAAGGUGGAAAUUCACACUAUUGACUGUCACGCCUGUACGCUUUGUCAUAUUGACACAAAAAUUGACACACAUAUGUAUCUCAAUAAGAUCUACAAAAAAGUCAGUGCGGCCGUAUCUGUCAAAAUUACGGUUAAAGGGUUAUUUCGCAUUUUUUGCCGAUCCGCACACAUUGGAAUUUCGCUAACUCCUCCGAAGGCUUUCGUUCCACCGGCACCACAUUUGCUCAGGCCAAUCUACACCCCAUGGCCAUUAAAAGUUAUCAAAAUCAUGACGCUGCACCCCAAGGUUUAGGUUCUAGGGGGCGCCAAAGAUAACACUAAAAUCCACAUAUUUAAAAGUCUUAUAACUUUUUAUUUUUGUCCUCACUGGCCUCCAAGUUUUCUAGGAUGAUGCAAUGUCCAGCCAUCAACACAUUUGUGAAGGAAUUUUUACUCCCCAAAAGAGCGCCCCCCCAUGGCAGGAGAAAAAAGUCCAUUUUUUCUUGUCCCCUAAGGUGAAAAUACACAUUGUUGAGUGUCACGCCUAUACGCUUUGUCAAAAUGACACAAAAAUUGACACACACAUGUAACUCAAUAAGAUCUACGAAAAAGUCAAUGCGCGCGUAUCUGUCAAAUGUACGGUUAAAGGGUUAUUCCGCAUUUUUUGCCGAUCCGCACACAUUGGAAUGUGGCUAACUCCUCCGAAGGCUUUAGUUCCACCGGCACCACAUUUGCUCAGGCCAAUCUACACCCCAUGGCCAUUAAAAGUUAUUCAAAUCAUGACGCUGCACCCCACGGUUUACGUUCUAGGGGGCGCCAAAGAUAACCCUAAAAUCCACAUAUUUAAAAGUCUUAUAACUUUUUAUUUUUGCCCUCACUGGCCUCCAAGUUUUCUAGGAUGAUGCAAUGUCCAGCCAUCAACACAUUUGUGAAGGAAUUUUUACUCCCCAAAAGAGCGCCCCCCCAUGGCAGGAGAAAAAAGUCCAUUUUUUCUUGUCCCCUAAGGUGAAAAUACACAUUGUAGAGUGUCACGCCUGUACGCUUUGUCAAAAUGACACAAAAUUUGACAUACACAUGUAUUUCAAUAAGAUCUUCGAAAAAGUCAAUAGCCACGUAUAUGUAAAAUGUACAGUUAAAGGGUUAUUUCACAUUUUUUGCAGAUCCGCACACAUUGGAAUUUGGCUAACUCCUCCUAAGGCUUUCGUCCCACUGACACCAAAUUUGCUCAGGCCAAUCUACACCCCAUGGCCAUUCAAAGUUGUAAAAAUCAUGACGCUGCACCCCACGGUUUACGUUCUAGGGGGCGCCAAAGAUGACCCAAAUAUCCACAUUCUUAAAAGAAUCCACACCCCCCCCCCAUCCCCCAUCCCCCAUGGCAGGAGAAACAGUCAAGUUUUUCCUUCCCAUCACUCAAUGGCUCAAUCGCAUCACUCUCCCGGCAACACCGUAACGAGGAGCAACUUGCCGUUUGGAUAUAUCCUAGCUGUGUUUGUGCCCUCACUCAUGGUCCAGACUUUUUUCAAAUAGGACAUGUAGUUUGUCUGCAGCGAGUGUUUUGGUAGAAACUGCGCCUCCCAUUCAUUAUAAUGGGAAAUGACCACAGACAAGUGCGCACACCAUCUUUGGACCUUGAGUGUGACGCGAUCGGGAGGGGGAGGCGGUCGCGCUGGGGGCGGCGCAACGCGGCUCGGGCCCGACAGUGCCCCACCGGGGUCCUAGUUAGGGCCCGAGCGUAGCUGCUAAGCAGCUGCGAGAGCCCUCUUGUUCCUGUAGUUUCCUUCUUUUGUUAUUUAUUAUUAGGGCCCGAGCGUAGCUGCUAAGCAGCUGCGAGAGCCCUAUUAUUCCCCAAGUGGUUUUUCUUUGUUUCUUUCUUUCUUCUUUUUCCUCCCCUUUGAACUGGAAAAUGGCCCACUUCCCACUGGCGAAAACUCAUGAAAUUUGGCAGGAUGACCGGGCCUGGUGAAAAAUUUGAUAUUCCGAAGUCGCCCAAACAAGAAAAUGCAAAAUGGCUCCAUAGCGCCCCCUAAGGUGAAAAUUCACACUAUUGACUGUCACGCCUUUACGCUUUGUCAUAUUGACACAAAAAUUGACACACACAUGUAUCUCAAUAAGAUCUACAAAAAAGUCAGUGCGGGCGUAUCUGUCAAAUGUACGGUUAAAGGGUUAUUCCGCAUUUUUUGCCGAUCCGCACACAUUGGAAUUUCGCUAACUCCUCCGAAGGCUUUCGUUCCACCGGCACCACAUUUGCUCAGGCCAAUCUACACCCCAUGGCCAUUAAAAGUUAUUCAAAUCAUGACGCUGCACCCCACGGUUUAGGUUCUAGGGGGCGCCAAAGAUAACCCUAAAAUCCACAUAUUUAAAAGUUUUAUAACUUUUUAUUUUUGUCCUCACUGGCCUCCAAGUUUUCUAGGAUGAUGCAAUGUCCAGCCAUCAACACAUUUGUGAAGGAAUUUUUACUCCCCAAAAGAGCGCCCCCCCAUGGCAGGAGAAAAAAGUCCAUUUUUUCUUGUCCCAUAAGGUGAAAAAACACAUUGUUGACUGUCAUACCUGUACGCUUUGUCAUAUUGACACAAAAUUUGACAAUCACAUGUAUCUCAAUAAGAUCUACGAAAAAGUCAAUGCGCGCGUAUCUGUAAAAUGUUUGGUUAAAGGGCUAUUUUGCAUUUUUUGCCGAUUUGCACACAUUGGAAUUUCGCUAACUCCUCCGAAGGCUUUCGUUCCACCGGCACCACAUUUGCUCAGGCCAAUCUACACCCCGUGGCCAUUCAAAGUUAUCAAAAUCAUGACGCUGCACCCCACGGUUUACGUUCUAGGGGGCGCCAAAGAUGACCCAAAUAUCCACAUUCUUAAAAGAAUCCACAUCCCCCCCCCCCCAUCCCCCAACCCCCAUGGCAUGGUUGUGCCCUCACUCAUGGUCCAGUCCUUUUCAAAUAGGACAUGUAGUUUGUCUGCGGCGAGCGUUUUGGUAGAAACUGCGCCUCCCAUUCAUUAUAAUUGUAAAUGACCACAGACAAGUGCGCACACCAUCUUUGGACCUUGAGUGUGACGCGAUCGGUAGGGAGAGGCGGUCGUGUUGGGGGCGGCGCGACACGGCUCGGGCCCGCCAGUGCCCCAACGGGGCCCUAGUUAUUAUUUUUCCUCCCCUUUGAACUGGAAAAUGGCCCACUUCCCACUGGCGAAAACUCAUGAAAUUUGGCAGGACGACCGGGCCUGGUGAAAAAUUUGAUAUUCCGAAGUCGCCCAAACAAGAAAAUGCAAAAUGGCUCCAUAGCGCCCCCUAAGGUGAAAAUUCACACUAUUGACUGUCACGCCGGUACGCUUUGUCAAAAUGACACAAAAAUUGACACACACAUGUAUCUCAAUAAGAUCUACAAAAAAGUCAGUGCGGGCGUAUCUGUCAAAUGUACGGUUAAAGGGUUAUUUCGCAUUUUUUGCCGAUCCGCACACAUUGGAAUUUCGCUAACUCCUCCGAAGACUUUCGUUCCACCGGCACCACAUUUGCUCAGGCCAAUCUACACCCCAUGGCCAUUAAAAGUUAUUCAAAUCAUGACGCUGCACCCCACGGUUUAGGUUCUAGGGGGCGCCAAAGAUAACCCUAAGAUCCACAUAUUUAAAAGUCUUAUAACUUUUUAUUUUUGCCCCCACUGGCCUCCAAGUUUUCUAGGAUGAUGCAAUGUCCAGCCAUCAACACAUUUGUGAAGGAAUUUUUACUCCCCAAAAGAGCGCCCCCCCAUGGCAGGAGAAAAAAGUCCAUUUUUUCUUGUCCCCUAAGGUGAAAAUACACAUUGUUGAGUGUAACACCUGUACGCUUUGGCAAAAUGACACAAAAAUUGACACACACAUGUAUCUCAAUAAGAUCUACGAAAAAGUCAAUGCGCGCGUAUCUGUCAAAUGUACGGUUAAAGGGUUAUUCCGCAUUUUUUGCCGAUCCGCACACAUUGGAAUUUCGCUAACUCCUCCGAAGGCUUUCGUUCCACCGGCACCACAUUUGCUCAGGCCAAUCUACACCCCAUGGCCAUUAAAAGUUAUUCAAAUCAUGACGCUGCACCCCACGGUUUAGGUUCUAGGGGGAGCCAAAGAUAACCGUAAAAUCCACAUAUUUAAAAGUCUUAUAACUUUUUAUUUUUGUCCCCACUGGCCUCCAAGUUUUCUAGGAUGAUGCAAUGUCCAGCCAUCAACACAUUUGUGAAGGAAUUUUUACUCGGCAAAAGAGCGCCCCCCCAUGGCAGGAGAAAAAAGUCAAUUUUUUCUUGUCCACUAAGGUGAAAAUACACAUUGUUGAGUGCUACGCCUGUAUGUUUUGUCGUAUUGACACAAAAUUUUACAUACACGUGUAUUUACAUAAGAUCUUCGAAAAAGUCAAUGGCCACGUAUCUGUAAAAUGUACGGUUAAAGGGUUAUUUCGCAUUUUUUGCAGAUUCGCACACAUUGGAAUUUCGCUAAUUCCUCCGAAGGCUUUCGUUCCACCGGCACCACAUUUGCUCAGGCCAAUCUACACCCCAUGGCCAUUAAAAGUUAUUCAAAUCAUGACGCUGCACCCCACGGUUUAGGUUCUAGGGGGCGCCAAAUAUAACCCUAAAAUCCACAUAUUUAAAAGUCUUAUAACUUUUUAUUUUUGUCCUCACUGGCCUCCAUGUUUUCUAGGAUGAUGCAAUGUCCAGCCAUCAACACAUUUGUGAAGGAGUUUUUUCUCUUUAAAAGAGCGCCCCCCCAUGGCAGGAGAAUAAAGUCAAGUUUUUCCUGUUCAUCAUUCAAUGGCUCAAACGCACUGCUCUCUCGGCAAAAGCGAAAGGAGGAGCAACUUGCCAUUUGGAUAUAUCUUAGCUGUGUUUGUGCCCUCACUCAUGGUCCAGACUUUUUUCAAAUAGGACAUGGAGUUUUUCUGCAGCGAGCGUUUUGGUAGAAACUGCGCCUCCCGUUCAUUAUAAUGGUAAAUGACCACAAACAAGUGCGCACACCAUCUUUGGACCUUGAGUGUGACGCGAUCGGGUGGGGGAGGCGGUCGCGCUGGGGGCGGCGUGACACGGCUCGGGCCCGCCAGUGCCCCAACGGGGCCCUAGUCUUGUUAUUAGGGCCCGAGCGUAGCUGCUAAGCAGCUGCGAGAGCCCUAUUAUUCCCCAAGUGGUUUUUAGGGCCCGAGCGUAGCUGCUAAGCAGCUGCGAGAGCCCUAUUAUUCCCCAAGUGGUUUUUCUUUGUUUCUUUUUAGGGCCCGAGCCAGCUGCAGAGCAGCCGGGCGUAGGCCCUGUUAUUCCUGUAGUGGUUUUUCUUUGUUUCUUUCUUUCUUCUUUUUCCUCCCCUUUGAACUGGAAAAUGGCCCACUUCCCACUGGCGAAAACUCAUGAAAUUUGGCAGGAUGACCGGGCCUGGUGAAAAAUUUGAUAUUCUGAAGUCGCCCAAACAAGAAAAUGCAGAAUGGCUCCAUAGCGCCCCCUAAGGUGAAAAUUCACACUAUUGACUGUCACGCCUUUACGCUUUGUCAAAAUGACACAAAAAUUGACACACACAUGUAUCUCAAUAAGAUCUACAAAAAAGUCAGUGCGGGCGUAUCUGUCAAAUGUACGGUUAAAGGGUUAUUCCGCAUUUUUUGCCGAUUCGCACACAUUGGAAUGUGGCUAACUCCUUCUAAGGCUUUCGUCCCACUGAAACCAAAUUUGCUCAGGCCAAUCUACACCCCAUGGCCAUUCAAAGUUGUAAAAAUCAUGACGCUGCACCCCACGGUUUACGUUCUAGGGGGCGCCAAAGAUGACCAAAAAAAUCCACAUUCUUAAAAGAAUCCACAUUCUCCCCCCCAUGGCACGAGAAAAAGUCAAGUUUUUCCUGCCCAUCGCUCAAUGGCUCAAUCGCAUUGCUCUCCAGGCAACACCGUAAGGAGGAGCAACCUGCCAUUUGGAUAUAUCCCAGCUGUGUUUGUGCCCUCACUCAUGGUCCAGACUUUUUUCAAAUAGGACAUGAAGUUUGUCUGCAGCGAGUGUUUUGGUAGAAACUGCGCCUCCCAUUCAUUAUAAUGGGAAAUGACCACAGACAAGUGCGCACACCAUCUUUGGACCUUGAGUGUGACGCGAUCGGGAGGGGGAGGCGGUCACGCUGGGGGCGGCACGACGCGGCUCGGGCCCGACAGUGCCCCACCGGGGCCCUAGUUAUUAUUAGGGCCCGAGCGUAGCUGCUAAGCAGCUGCGAGAGCCCUCUUGUUCCUGAUGGAUUCUUCUUUCGUUAUUUUUCCUCCGCUUUAAACUGGAAAAUGGCCCACUUCCCACUGGCGAAAACUCAGGAAAUUUGGCAGGACGACCGGGCCUGGUGAAAAAUUUGAUAUUCUGAAGUCGUCCAAACAAAAAAAUGAAAAAUGGCUCCAUAGCGCCCCCUAUGGUGAAAACUCACCUGAUGCCUGUACGCUUUGUCAAAAUGACACAAAAUUUGACACACAUGUGUAUCUCAAUAAGAUCUACGAAAAAGUCAGUGCGGGCGUAUCUGCCAAAUGUACGGUUAAAGGGCUAUUUCGCUUUUUUUGCCGAUCCGCACACAUUGGAAUUUCGCUAACUCCUCCGAAGGCUUUCGUUCCACCAGCACCAAAUUUGCUCAGGCCAAUCUACACCCCAUGGCCAUUAAAAGUUGUACAAAUCAUGAUGCUGCACCCCACGGUUUACUUUCUAGGGGGCGCCAAAGAUAACACAAAAAUCCACAUACUUAAAAGUCUUAUAACUUUUUAUUUUUGUCCUCACUGGCCUCCAAGUUUUCUAGGAUGAUGCAAUGUCCAGCCAUCAACACAUUUGUGAAGGAAUUUUUACUCCCCAAAAGAGCGCCCCCCCAUGGCAGGAGAAAAAAGUCCAUUUUUUCUUGUCUCCUUAGGUAAAAAUACACAUUGUUGAGUGUCACGCCUAUACACUUUGUCAUAAUGACACACAAUUUGACAAUCACGUGUAUCUCAAUAAGAUCUACAAAAAAGUAAAUAGGCACGUAUCUGUCAAAUGUAUGGUUAAAGGGCUAUUUCGCAUUUUUUGCCGAUUCGCACACAUUGGAAUGUGGCUAUCUCCUCCUAAGGCUUUCGUCCCACCGAUACCAAAUUUGCUCAGGGCAAUCUACACCCCAUGGCCAUUCAAAGUUGUAAAAAUCAUGACGCUGCACCCCACGGUUUACGUUCUAGGGGGCGCCAAAGAUGACCCAAAAAUCCACAUUCUUAAAAGUCAUUUUGGCCACUGCAGGAGUACAGAGUACUGCAGUUCAAGGGGGCGCCAAAGAUGACCCAAAAAUCCACAUUCUUAAAAGUCUUUUUGGCCACUGCAGGAGUACAGAGUACUGCCGGACACACACACAUAUACACACACGCCACACACACACACACACACACACACACACACACACACACACACACACACACACACACUCAGAGUCUGUUUUUUAGCACCUGCAAAAACAUGCUGUUUACAUAUUUGACAAGAAUGCAGAGGCUUCCUUUUGCCCCUGAAAAAAAUCAAAUUUCAAACACAACUUGACUGUUCAUUUCUCCAAAAGACAACCAUGAAGCUCCAUCCAAACCUGAAGCAGAUAGUUGAUGCAUGUGUACAGUAACCUGAGGAGAGUGAGGUGACUACUUCUGAGGAGAACAUGAGCAGUGAAGAUUCACCUUGGAGCUAGAACAGGGACGUGCACAUGAUUAUACAGGGGCAGGGGCUCAAGUUUUUUCCAGUCAUUUAUACAAUAUGGAAAUUAAUGUGAAAUUAAACCACAAAUAUGUGUGAUGAACUGUUUUUAAAACUUAAACUUCAAAUAAAAAUUGUAAACUUCAAAACAUAUGCAAAUUUUUAACAAAGAACAUAGUAAUUUACCUCUAUUUACAUCAAAAUGCAGGCAAUGGCCCAGGCGUUCUUUGUAAAAUUAUUUACAAAACACUGUAUAGUCUCACAAAUGUCACUUUUUAUUUAUGCCACUACAAAAAAACAUGAUGUAAAUGAUGCAUGAUGUAAAACAUGAUGUAAAAAACUUGUGUAGAUCCUCCUCUAUGUCAGUCCAUGUGUAAUUUUUCCAUAAUUCUUUGUUUUUUGCAGCAUUUUUGUUAGUGUAACUGCAGAUUGUGCUGACAGUGUCUAUGGCAAAAAAAAAAAAAAAACUGAAAAUGCCUCAACAUGAACUCCUGGUGGUCUCUGAGGGUGAAACCUGCUAACUGUGCAGCUCUCUCAGCUCUAGUCUCCCAUGCAGAGCUCGGAGCGCAUGUGUGGCUCUGCACCCUUAGCAGCGUUGCUAACUCCUCAGUAAGGAAAGCCUUACGGCCCGAGCGACACAGCUCGGGCCCGCCAGUGCCCCAACGGGGUCCUAGUUAGGGCCCGAGCGUAGCUGCUAAGCAGCUGCGAGAGCCCUAUUAUUCCCCAAGUGGUUUUUCUUUGUUUCUUUUUUCUUUUUCCUCCCCUUUGAACUGGAAAAUGGCCCACUUCCCACUGGCGAAAACUCAUGAAAUUUGGCAGGACGACCGGGCCUGGUGAAAAAUUUGAUAUUCUGAAGUCGCCCAAACAAUACAAUGCAAAAUGGCUCCAUAGCGCCCCCUAAGGUGAAAAAUUCACCUGACGCCUGUACGCUUUGUCAAAAUGACACAAAAAUUGACACACACAUGUAUCUCAAUAAGAUCUACAAAAAAGUCAGUGCGGGCGUAUCUGUCAAAUGUACGGUUAAAGGGUUAUUCCGCAUUUUUUGCCGAUCCGCACACAUUGGAAUUUCGCUAACUCCUCCGAAGGCUUUAGUUCCACCGGCACCACAUUUGCUCAGGCCAAUCUACACCCCAUGGCCAUUAAAAGUUAUUCAAAUCAUGACGCUGCACCCCACGGUUUAGGUUCUAGGGGGCGCCAAAGAUAACCCUAAAAUCCACAUAUUUAAAAGUCUUAUAACUUUUUAUUUUUGCCCUCACUGGCCUCCAAGUUUUCUAGGAUGAUGCAAUGUCCAGCCAUCAACACAUUUGUGAAGGAAUUUUUACUCCCCAAAAGAGCGCCCCCCCAUGGCAGGAGAAAAAAGUCCAUUUUUUCUUGUCCCAUAAGGUGAAAAUUCACACUAUUGACUGUCACGCCUGUACGCUUUGUCAAAAUUACACAAAAAUUGACACACACAUGUAUCUCAAUAAGAUCUACAAAAAAGUCAGUGCGGGCGUAUCUGUCAAAUGUACGGUUAAAGGGUUAUUGCGCAUUUUUUGCCGAUCCGCACACAUUGGAAUUUCGCUAACUCCUCCGAAGGCUUUCGUUCCACUGGCACCAAAUUUGCUCAGGCCAAUCUACACCCCAUGGCCAUUAAAAGUUAUUCAAAUCAUGACGCUGCACCCCACGGUUUAGGUUCUAGGGGGCGCCAAAGAUAACCCUAAAAUCCACAUAUUUAAAAGUCUUAUAACUUUUUAUUUUUGUCCUCUCUGGCCUCCAAGUUUUCUAGGAUGAUGCAAUGUCCAGCCAUCAACACAUUUGUGAAGGAAUUUUUACUCCCCAAAAGAGCGCCCCCCCAUGGCAGGAGAAAAAAGUCCAUUUUUUCUUGUCCCAUAAGGUGAAAAUACACAUUGUUGACUGUCAUACCUGUAUGCUUUGUCAUAUUGACACAAAAUUUGACACACACAUGUAUCUCAAUAAGAUCUACGAAACAGUCAAUGCGCGCGUAUCUGUAAAAUGUACGGUUAAAGGGCUAUUUUGCAUUUUUUGCCCAUUAGCACACAUUGGAAUGUGGCUAACUCCUCCUAAGGCUUUCGUCCCACUGACACCAAAUUUGCUCAGGCCAAUCUACACCCCAUGGCCAUUCAAAGUUUUAAAAAUCAUGACGCUGCACCCCACGGUUUACGUUCUAGGGGGCGCCAAAGAUGACCCAAAUAUCCACAUUCUUAAAAGAAUCCACCCCCCCCCCCCCCAAUCCCCCAUCCCCCAUCCCCCAUCCCCCAUGGCAGGAGAAACAGUCAAGUUUUUCCUGCCCAUCACUCAAUGGCUCAAUCGCAUCGCUCUCCCGGCAACACCGUAAGGAGGAGCAACUUGCCGUUUGGAUAUAUCCUAGCUGUGUUUGUGCCCUCACUCAUGGUCCAGACUUUUUUCAAAUAGGACAUGUAGUUUGUCUGCAGCGAGUGUUUUGGUAGAAACUGCGCCUCCCAUUCAUUAUAAUGGGAAAUGACCACAGACAAGUACGCACACCAUCUUUGGACCUUGCGUGUGACGCGAUCGGGAGGGGAAGGCGGUCGCACUGGGGGCGGCGCAACGCGGCUCGGGCCCGCCAGUGCCCCAACGGGGCCCUAGUUAUUAUUAGGGCCCGAGCCAGCUGCAGAGCAGCCGGGCGUAGGCCCUAUUAUUCCCCAAGUGGUUUUUCUUUGUUUCUUUCUUUCUUUCUUUCUUUCUUCUUUUUCCUCCCCUUUGAACUGGAAAAUGGCCCACUUCCCACUGGCGAAAACUCAUGAAAUUUGGCAGGACGACCGGGCCUGGUGAAAAAUUCG
Molecule: non-coding RNA, 11160 nt
Organism: Xyrichtys novacula (pearly razorfish)
Lineage: Eukaryota; Metazoa; Chordata; Actinopteri; Labriformes; Labridae
Source: the annotation of a GenBank genome assembly